UUGGAUAGGAGGAAAGAAAAUAAUAGAAGGAAAAUAAAAGAAUGUAAUGAUUAGGAAGAAAAAUAACUUUUUAAUUUUAUGUUUAGAUUAUGAGGAAAAAUUUUGUGAGGAAAAUUAUUUUUUUAAAGAAAAAAAUCACAAUACUAUUCUUAGAUGUUCAAAAAAAGCUUAAAAAAUAUAAAAAUAUUUUUGUAAUUGCAAACAUUUUCCUCCCACAUUUCCUCCAAUUGGGAGAAAAAAUGAGAGUGGAAUUCAACCAUUAUUUUUCUUUCAAAAUUUUCUUUCCUCCUUAUUUUCUUUUUUAA
Molecule: unclassified non-coding RNA, 305 nt
Filed under: Hevea brasiliensis (rubber tree)
Lineage: Eukaryota; Viridiplantae; Streptophyta; Magnoliopsida; Malpighiales; Euphorbiaceae
Source: RNAcentral